CUGCAACCACCUUUUUAUCCCCCCUUCCCAAUUCUCUCUCAAACUUUCUCAAACCCUAGUCGCCGCCCUCAACCACCACCUGAAAAUCUCACAAAUCCAUGGCUUCCAAAGCCAUUGAAGGCUUGUAUCCACCUCCAUUGGCUUCUAUGUGUUCAAGUACUGUAGUUUCAAGGCCAGACCUUGAAGAAGCUUGGCCCAGACCAUGGUCGAUUUCUGCUUUAUGGUUGUCUCCGAUCAUCUUUGACUUUGCUUCAGCCAGCCAUGGCUAUUCAAGCAUGACUCUUGACUUCCCCAACUUAGAUCAAUGAGUUUCCGAGCCUUUCUCACCAUCUGGGGUUCUUCUAAAACCCUAACCUUCGAGUUUCUUCUGAUUCUUUUAGAUCUGUUUUAGAUCUGUGUUUACCAUAAACUUCUAAUCAUUUUUCUCAAGGUUUCUUUCAAAACUUUACCUUCAAGAACUCUUAUCUUUUUCGAUUGGGGUAUAUGUUAUGUAAUUUCAAAGCUUUUCUGAUUUUUUAACGUGUUCUACUGUGUUUUCUUAUGUCGCUCUUCUACUUGAGUUUGCAUGUUAAGGGCCUUAACCUUUUUGGGAUAUCUAAAUCUAUUUUGUUAUUAUUUGUCUGAUUUACUCGUUUUUCAUCUAUAGAACUCGAUUCAUGGUGAAAACUCUAAAAUUUUGGGUUCAGUCAAGUUCUGAGGCUAUUUUCUCUGUGAUUCACUUAGUGUUUAUGCUCUAAUUCGAUUGAUUUUAAAACUAUAACUUCUCUAGGCCUAAUCGAGCUUCUGAAGUUGCUUCAUCUGUUGCUCGACAAGAAUCGAAAUUUUUGUUUCAACCUUUGUUUCUUUAUGUGAUUAAGACUUUCUAGUAUCAUUGAAACUAGACUACAUUUUUCAGAAAAGUCUUUUUAUUUGACCUUAUGCAUGCUUCUGAUACUCUCUCCUUGCUCUAUUACUGAGUUGGUGAAAUUGACCUAUGUGACUGACAUGUUUCAACAGUUCUCUAUCCACCGACUUUGUGAUUGUUAUUUCAUGAUGCUUCUCUUGGUCAUAAGUUCAGCCUCGCAUGCCUAAUGUUUAUGCACUCUUUUAUAUGCUAAAUUUCUCUCUAAAAUGACCUGCAAUUGUGGACUGAUUUCAAACUACUCCUUGUGUAACUCUGAUUGCACUCGUGUGAUAAGUAAUUGAUUAUUUCCUUGUUUUACUGUCUUCCCUGUUUCUUUGAUUGAUUUGAAAAACUUCUCUUUUAACUUUCGAUUCUCCCUUUUCAACUUGGUUUAUUCAUGGGAACCCCUGUUACUCUCCUUAAAUCAGUGAUUUUGAAAUCAUUGACUCUUUGAUUUGCUAUGUAUUGACUUUCGAUUGUCCCCACAUUCUAUAACUUUACUUUAUUUUCUUUUCUUACUUGGUUAAUCGAGUAUUUCAAAGAUUCUUCCCUUAAUUAAAACCUCUAUGCACUUACCCCUAAUUGGCUAUUCUGCACAUGAUGCUCUACUUGAUUUCUUUCUUUAAAUAAAUUAUGCCCAUAACCAUUUGAAUUAAACUCCUUAACUAAAGAGGGUCCUUAAUACUGAUUAGAUUUUAAUUAGUACAUAGUUCGAUAAUUAUUUUUGAACUAUGAUUCUUGCCUUAUUUUUUGCUUAUUUUCAAACUAUAAAUACGCUGCUCUUUCAUUAACACAAAGACACAUGAACACUCUUAUUUUUGAACUCAGUUACACUUAAAGUAUUCUCUCUCACUUUACUAGUUGUACUGUGGCCUGUUUUCAAAGUCCUACUACCUUCCUUUAAUAUAUUUUGGUUUCUCUAAACUGGUAUGUUCUGAUUAAUAUUUCAGCAUCAACAACAAUAUGUUUACUUAGUACGUCUGCCUACUGCUUAUAUUUAAUUCAAUACCCUAUUCUAGCAUGUUGUAAUUUCUUUUUUCCUAUUCUGAACCUAUGUAUGAUGUAUCCUAAAACCCUACCCCAAUGUGUUUCAUACCGAUGGUUUGUUUGAGGUAUGACAGUAGUUAGUAUUGCUAUCUAUGUCUCAAACUCGAUCCCCUUUAAGUCAUAACCUCUAUGUUACCAUUAUAUGUUAUGUAUUCUGGUUGAUUUUUUUAGCAUAACAGCACUCCAUAUCGUUGUGCAUGCCCAAAAUUAACUAAUACCUAAGUACAUAGGCUCUUUGAAAUUUCCAAUCCCUGAACCCCUUUUGUGUGAAUUUAUUAAUUCUAUAACUGUUUCCCAUCACCUCUUUCCCUCUUCAUUACUUCCUUAUUUCUUAGAACUCUAUUUCUUCACUUGCACUCUCUCCUAGACUUAAAGUUAUGUCCCCCUCUUGUGAGCCUUGCUUGGGACCCAUUGAGUUCCCUCUGAACUUGGAGACCUGAGGGCUGACACUUCCACACUGUACUUGUCCCUAUUCUGGUGAUACCAUUUGGGUGUAAGCACUAGACGAAGUCCUACCGAGGCUCUUACGGAACUUCGACACACUCAAAUUGGAGAAAGUAUUUAGAUCAGUGGUCUUUGAGUUGGUCUAUCUCAUAACUCAAAGUGGAAGUCAAGAAUCAUGCCUCCUCUGGUUGCACUUUUCUUUGUACUUUGGAUAUAAUUUAUCAUUCAUGUUUGUAAUAAGUCGUAAUAAUCACUUGCGGCUGUUUAGUGAAAAGGGUUGGGUAUUUAUGCAUGUCAAUGGUAGAAAUAAUGCUUAUAUGAUUGUUCUAAUUCUGCGUGUUCAACUAUAUAUAGAAACCAUGCCUAUAGGACUGUUCUAAUUCUGCAUAUUCAACUACAUAUUGAAACCAUGCCUAUAGGACUGUUCAGAUUCUUUAUAUCCAAACUUCACCUAAAAAAAUCAUGCCUAUAGGACUGUUCUAAUUCUGCAAAUCCAAACUUCAACUAGAAAUCAUGCCUAUAUGACUG
RNAcentral lists this long non-coding RNA (2902 nucleotides) under Nicotiana benthamiana. RNAcentral describes it as "long non-coding RNA (NBEN_LNC035999)". Lineage: Eukaryota; Viridiplantae; Streptophyta; Magnoliopsida; Solanales; Solanaceae. The record is from RNAcentral.